RNAcentral lists this ribosomal RNA (468 nucleotides) under uncultured bacterium. RNAcentral's name for it is "partial 16S ribosomal RNA". It matches the Rfam family "Bacterial small subunit ribosomal RNA", at positions 28 to 507 of the family's 1533-position model. The record is from RNAcentral.
GACGAACGCUGGCGGCGUGCUUAACACAUGCAAGUCGAACGGAAAGGCCCUGCUUUUGUGGGGUGCUCGAGUGGCGAACGGGUGAGUAACACGUGAGUAACCUGCCCUUGACUUUGGGAUAACUUCAGGAAACUGGGGCUAAUACCGGAUAGGAGCUCCUGCUGCAUGGUGGGGGUUGGAAAGUUUCGGCGGUUGGGGAUGGACACGCGGCUUAUCAGCUUGUUGGUGGGGUAGUGGCUUACCAAGGCUUUGACGGGUAGCCGGCCCGAGAGGGUGACCGGCCACAUUGGGACUGAGAUACGGCCCAGACUCCUACGGGAGGCAGCAGUGGGGAAUAUUGCACAAUGGGCGGAAGCCUGAUGCAGCAACGCCGCGUGCGGGAUGACGGCCUUCGGGUUGUAAACCGCUUUCGCCUGUGACGAAGCGUGAGUGACGGUAAUGGGUAAAGAAGCACCGGCUAACUACGUG